Ictalurus furcatus (blue catfish) is the source of this 4474-nucleotide RNA transcript. RefSeq lists it as uncharacterized. The record is from RefSeq and is a predicted model, not a curated record. The transcript is spliced from 8 exons. Lineage: Eukaryota; Metazoa; Chordata; Actinopteri; Siluriformes; Ictaluridae.
AAUAAAGUACUCCCAACACCAAGAACAGCAAACUAUUAAAUCACCGCGAAGGAUUUUUGGCGAAAUUCAUACAUUUUACAGCGCAACACAUGCCAUGGAAAAAAACACAAAUAAAAAAACAAUAAAUUUUAUUUCCCAUAUCUGUUACACGUACACAGGCGUUAUCUGGACUCCGCGCCACCGGAAACGGAAUUCAGCCGCUCUGGGUUUUAUGACGCAAUUUUCGCUGAACGUACAGACCUAUAAAAUGGAGAAAUCAGGGGGAAUAAUAAUAGGACGGUGGGUCACACUGUGGAUUGCGAAGCUGAAGAGGAAAAGUGUAUCAGGUGUAAUAACGAAGAGGAAAAACAAACUGCGUGGUGUGAUUCAGGAAGACACUGGAGGAUAAUCUGAUCUUCUAGCAGGUUCACAGCAGAGCGUGAGGUGGGACACUAGAGCUUCACCACCCUCCCUGGAAACAUGCUUCUCUGGUCGAGGUGGUUUUCAUUCAUGGCACAUUCAAUGACCGUUUUGUUCCUUCUCCUCUGCUCUCAGUUGGUUGUCGGUGGUGUUGUGACUUCUGCCAGAGGGAACACCAGCACAUUGUCCUGCAGAAACAUUUCUGCUGGUGAUGUUUACACGUGCCCAGUGCCGUCUUAUAUACCAUCUGCUGUACUGUGGAACAAGGACUGUGAGCAAGAGUGGUACAAUGAGGCAGGGGAGUUUUUGUCAGAUGGACAUCAUCAUGCAAAUAAAACUAGGCACCGACUGGUUGUUGAGGAAAGCAGUGAAAACAUCACACUCUCUAAAUGCGUCAAGCUUCACUAUUAUGUGACCUGUCAUGGAUCGAGUCAAAAGUUUAAACACACUUACCAAGGACAAAGUUGUUACAGUGAUGAAGACAAAUUAAACUGUUAUAACAUCGUAUCUGAAAGGUGAAAUGUUCUGCUCAAGUCUGCUUGGUUCCAGUUGAUCUGCUCGGUCAUCUGCGUUUUCUGAAUACGACUCGAACUGAUCCGGUAAAACCUCAGACAUUAUUAACUGUAUUUAUAAUGACUUUAGAAGCCUUGGAAGUUGAAGCUUGCGAUUAUAGUAUGUGGCGUUUACAUUUCCAACACACGCUUGAGAUUUUUGGCUAAUCACAACGCAGUGGGUCAGCUAGCCAAUCAGAGCACUCUGGGAUUUUCGGAAAGGAGAAACCCGAACUCAAUCGGAGCAUUUCAGGAAUACUGGGAAUAGAUGUACUGCAGUGAUGUACAGUAUGUUUGGGGGGUGUUUUGAACAUUAAAGCAUGUUAAUCUAUUCUAUUACACCCAAUAAACAAAAUGAUUAACUUUUUAAAAAAUCAUUUGACAUCUUUAAAUAAACUUCACCACAUCGUUACACGUUUUUAAUCUGUUUGUGAAGCAUCCGCUUUACAAAUCCUUGUUAAUGAGCUGUUCCUAUAGAAACGAUAAAGUAUUAGAACGAGUACAUUAACAUAGACCUGUGGUUUUACGCUCUUGCUAGCUACCUCCGUAUGGUGCUAAACUAGUGCAGGUUUAUAGAGAGAGAAAGCUCUUAAACUCCAUCUAUGUUCAGCAGAUUUUCAUAAACUUAGUUCUGUAACAGAGGUCGCACAUUUCUGCAUCUCACAGGUCAUCAAUUUUUUUUAUUUUUUUUUAACAGGACUUUUUUGUUCAUAUUUAUAAGUAUGAAAGAGAUUGUGUGCAUUUGUGCACUGGAAGUAUAUUAAAAACAAAAGUGCUUUAAAAAAAACAAACAAAUAAAUAAUUUCCGUAACCGUAUAAAGACUUGGCGCCUUGUGAGCAUCUGUACACAGCAUUUUGACAUGCUCACCGAUACGAUCGCACAGAAGUAUAAAUCAGAGCUUUGACGAGAUCAGAAAACAGCUGGCCAAUCAUAUUCUCACACUGAUGCACGUGCAGAUUAAUGCGUCGUUGCUCCUUUAAUUAUGGAGACGCGUGCAAGUGUAGCAGUCGGAGCAACCAGUUAACGUUUUUGUGUGUUGUUGGUCUUUGGUGCAACACAUUAACUGUCUGUUUUCUCCUUCCUUCCUCAAGUGAUCAAUGACACCACCCUGAGUUUUGAGCAGCAAUCCGAUAGCAGCACCACCACCAACACCACCAUCAUCUCUGUCGUCAUUCCCCUGAUUGUAGGCCUGCACUACAUUUUUAAAAAAAAAGUGGUGAAGUGCUGAGCAGCCAGAGCACUCCAAGAGCAUAUGAAGAUUAAGUUUCUCCAUCCAGUCUGAUUCUGCCUUUUCUAUAAUCGUACUUGUAUAUCUGCUUUUGUACUUUCACUAUAUUUUUCUUGCAUUUUGAACAUUUUUAAAAUGUUAAAAUACUAAAUAGGUAAACAGACCUUGGAAUUAUAGGAUUCUUACCACAAGUGCCAAAUGUUUUAAUCACGUCAAAGCACACAGAACAACUUUUAUACUUCACACAUUUUAUUAUACUAUGUAGCAGUAUUUUGGUGUAAAAUAUAUUGUAUACGUUGUUGCGUCCCAGUCUAGGUUGGGCCGCACAAAGUAACCAGCUCAGGAUUCAAGUUGAUUGAUCUUUUAAAGUGUAAGUGAGGGAGCCAGGAAUAACAACAAAACAGGGUUGUUCAAAAAGUUGUAGUGUAUUAUCUCAGACAAUAUAUACAUAUAACUAUACAAAUAACCAAAAUAGGCGUAUCUUCAGGGUGGACCAAAGCCAAAAUAAUUAACAAAAGGAUCCUAUGAUUUAGGUGUCUAGCUGACCUAAAAGGAAAGAAAAGAAAAUACAAAUAUUCUACCCUAACUACCUAAGCAAGAAACAGAGACAAAAGGGACCAUCUCCCAAAAUAAAUGACAGCCACACUCCUACAGCCACCGAACCAAAAGAGCGCACACACACACACACAUGUGAAGAGAAUGCACAAACAAUAUAUAGGGAUAACCAAAGUCAGAGUCAAAAACCAGGCAGAAGUCAAAAUACAGAGUUAGCCACAAGGGCAAGCACACAAAUCAAGCAAUCUCCUAACACCACCACCAAACACCUCCAACAUCCCACCACGUCUCACUCCGUCUUCCUCUUUAAAAAUGGCCGCCAUUCACUGAGGUCAUCAAGGAGACGGGAGCAAGACAGACUAUGGCAGGCUUGGAAAAAAGCGUGAAAAGUAAACCGGUAUUUUAUUUAAAAAAAAAUUUAAAAAGCAGAAAAAAGAUGUAUUGCUGCAUCAUUAACACUGCCUAUAGGUCAUAAAGAAGAGACUGCUAUAAUUGAGUUAUUAGUCAAGUUUAAUUCAGUAUUUAAAAAAAAAAAAUACAGCUACAAUAUUUUUAAAAAAUCAGUCUGCCCCUUCAUUUUAUUAAAAACAUUUUUAUAGUACUGUGAAUUAAAAUGUUGCACAAAACAAUGAAGACCAAAGAACUUAUUAAAUCCUAGAGUAAUAUAAAAUACAGUAUUAAUAAUCAAAGAUUGUUAAAUUUGUUUACUUAUUGUAUGUUAUUUAUCACUUCAUGCUGCCAUUUAAAGGAUGUGUUUGUUUUAAACAACUGGCGGUUUAAGCUGACAUGACCACUCUGAAUGUAACAUUAAAGCAGGGCUGUCAAACAUGGGACUGGACUGUCCAGUGGGACAUGACUGGCCCUAUAGAAGUAUUUGUAAUCCAACCUAGCAUAUGAAUUUAGAAACCAUAAUAUUUUAUUGGACAUUUAUUUAUUUUUAAUGAAUUGCAGAGUGCACACAAUGUAGAUUUCCACUAAAUUGGUCAAUAACCAACUUUUUCUGUCCCAUCGAACUAAGUAUAAUCUAUUCUGUAAGAUGCCCCUGAUUUAAAGCAUUAAUUUGUACUCAUGCAAUACUUUUAUUUAUUUAUUUAUUUUAUCUCAUUUUUUCUUUAAUGCCAUCACUUUAUUAGGGAUCUAAAUGUCUAUCAAGCUUCUCUGUGACUGUACAAUGAAAUAUCUGGCCUUGCUGAGUGACUUUCUUUUAUAUAUGUAGCCUGAACUGGAGAACUUUAUAUCUUGGGUGAAUGUAGCUGUUACUGUAGAAUGAGACGAUCUGAAUAAAAAACAUCUCUUUUAAUACCACAGCACUGUUUGAUUCUGAAUUGUGAUUGGCCACAAUGUGUUGAUUGAUUUUUCUUUAAGAGCAGCUCUGGCAGUAGUGCAGCUGCAAAAUGGUUCAUGUUGUCUAGUUUGGUCUUUUCUGGAAAAAUUGCAAUAUGAUGCCAUAUUGUUACACCCUUAAACACUGUAUAUGACUUAACGCACCUUGUGCUUCUUUUGCUGUUUACUGUUUCAGAAAGUCACUAUAAAGCACAUGUCAGAAUUAUAACAUGGUCGGUACUACUGAGUGUUCAAUACAGAAAACAAUGGGAAUUUAAUGACCACUUGUACAGUGCUGCUAGAAAGUUUGUGAACCCUUUACAAAUUUCUGUAUUUCUGCAUAACUUUUACCAGAAAUGUGAUCAGAUCUUCAUCUAAGACUUAAAACUUGAUAAAGAGAACUCAAUAAAUAAAUGU